This is a non-coding RNA of Dreissena polymorpha, 83 nucleotides long. The record is from the annotation of a RefSeq genome assembly. NCBI's taxonomy places the organism in Eukaryota, Metazoa, Mollusca, Bivalvia, Myida, Dreissenidae.
GUUGCCGUGGCCAAGUGGUUAAGGCGAUAGACUUAAAAUCUUUUGGGAUUUUCCCGCGCAGGUUCUAAUCCUGCCCGACAACG